Transfer RNA from Camelus ferus (Wild Bactrian camel), 72 nucleotides. It matches the Rfam family "tRNA". Rfam says of the family: Transfer RNA (tRNA) molecules are approximately 80 nucleotides in length. Their secondary structure includes four short double-helical elements and three loops (D, anti-codon, and T loops). The record is from Rfam. Lineage: Eukaryota; Metazoa; Chordata; Mammalia; Artiodactyla; Camelidae.
GAGGGAAUAGCUCAGUGGUAGAGCAUGUGCUUAGCACGUAUGAUGUCCUGGGUUCAAUCCCCAGUACCUCCA